CACUCCUCCGCGAACCGUCCUUCGGGUGAUGCGCGGUGCCUCGGUUUGAAGCCGCCGCACUCCGAACGGGCGCGAUGUGUGAACGCGGGGCCGGCGGGGAUGUGAAUUCGAACGUGCUGAUCGCCCGCAGCACCGGCGACGCGCAGCUGGACAAAGCGGUGUGGCAGUGGCUGAGCUGGGACAAGGGCAGAGGGUGUCUGCAGAACCAAAGUGAUUGCAGUGGGAGUUGUAAAUGGCCAGUUAUUUUGGCAGAAUACUCGCCUUGAAACCUGACUCUGGUGUUCAGUAGGAGUUGUUAACAUGGCUGGAAGAGAAAGAAGCAGUAAGAAAUAAUUAGCUGAUGCCCCUACACCUGCAUUCUGCUGUGCCUUCAGAUUACUUAUCCUGGUGAGCUGCAGGGAAAGAAGGGCAAUUCUUUCAGUAAGCAAUUGUGCAGUAUGUGAAGAACUGAACCUAAUACUGAAUUCAGCAGAGAAUAGGAUGGUGACGAUUGUUUUUUAAUAAAACCCCAACUGCUGCAGGACCUGAUCCCAGAGUUCUGUUGUACAUCUGAGUCUGGCAGAAAACCUUUGGAGGCAGCUGCUGGAACUCACCUCCCAUUGCCAACAGGCUCAUCUCCUUCCUCUGCUCAAUGUACAACCACUGCAGCUGCCUUAAGCUUAGUUCCACAGGACCAGCAGUGCAGGUGGUGUAAAGCUCCUGGCUCAGAACUGAAGUCAGAGGCACGAAUGACAGCAUUUUAUGAGGAAGGAACCCUUGGUUUUCAGUGUUGCCAUGUCUGUAUAUUAAUGCAACAACUCUGUAGGAAAAUGUGAAGCUCUGCUAGCCUGCUGGUAGUGCUCAGCCCUGCUCCCUGUGNGCUGCCCAGGGCCCCAUCCAACCUGCCCUUCAACACCUCCAGGGAUGGACGGGGCAUCCACAGCCUCUCUGGGCAGCUGUUCCAGCAAAUGGGCAUCCAAGCAUAGAAUCACUUCAGCUGGAAUCUAACCUAAAUCCAUUAUACUGCUCUGAAGCUGGAGAUCAUUGGCUUUCACGAGGACUGUUAGUAUUGUGCAAAAAGACCACCACCAAAACCAAUAAAACCAGAAGAAAACAAACCCCAAAAGCAAAACCACCCCCAACCCCACAAGCCUCUUCUUUUUAGCCAAAGUUGUGAACGAGGACACAAAACAAAUAGCCAGUUUUAUUAGGAGGACAAGCAGGGAGUAAGAUGAAAAAGCAAAUAUAGACUGACUGCGAAGAACAUCUGUUGUAAACUGCUGAACUUCUGGGCUGGCCUUCCAGUAACAGCAGUUGAUAGCGUUGUUUGCAAUGGAUUUGGAUGGUGUGGUUAAGUGCCUCUGCAUUGCUGUAGCUUUCUCUUUAGCUCUUGUUUUAAAACAGAGAGGUCAGUACGUAGUUGGAGUGGACUGAAUCUCAGACUGCAAACCUGGUGUUACAUCCUGCAUCAAAGCUGAUGCUUCAGAUACUAUGAUUUACUAUUUAUACUUGGGUUAGAGAUAGAAUAUUUUGAUAAGAAACCACUGUAAACAGAUGUUGAGUUUGGAGUGGAGUGUUUUGUGAUGGACUUCUUGAUAGGAGUAUUGGAGAGAUGUUGGAACUUGACUGCCAUUUUGGUAGUUGCGCAUUGGGUUUGAGGAAUGCA
Long non-coding RNA from Pavo cristatus (Indian peafowl), 1645 nucleotides. The record is from Ensembl. Lineage: Eukaryota; Metazoa; Chordata; Aves; Galliformes; Phasianidae.